GAAGCAGGUGGAACGGGCAGUCGUGCUGAACUGCUGCAGCUGUGUGCUCAGGGGCACCCACCACAGCCCAAGGCCCUGGUGGCACCAGGUGUCAGAGGAGUAAUUUAGGGAUGGCAUGGCUGAGUAGGUUUGCAGGUUUGUAGAGGCUCUGGGUAUUUCCGGUGUUGCAGCUCCUAAGGCUGGAUCUUCUAAGGAAAAAACUGGUUGGACUUGCUCUCAGAAGAGCAGUGUUGAGCUCCUCAGUUCCAUGUACCGACCAGCUGCAAGGCAGAAAAUGGUUGAGGAGGUCAGAGAAGAUUCAAACUAGGGUCCAGACAGAGAGUACAGAGACUUUCUUGAGUGUUUAUUAAAUGCACGGAGAGGAAAAAACUACCCAGCCUGUUCAAUUACUAACCCGUAGUGCUGGUUGGAAAACCAAAUAUCUAUUCUCCAGGGUAGCUACAUUGUACUCCAACAUGUGAAGAUUUGGUUUCUUUUAUAAUUGGAAUGAAAUAUUGAAUUUUUUUUGGAAAGGAAUUCUCUUGCUCUUCCAUCUGAAUACUAGCUGA
Molecule: long non-coding RNA, 548 nt
Organism: Cygnus olor (mute swan)
Lineage: Eukaryota; Metazoa; Chordata; Aves; Anseriformes; Anatidae
Exons: 4
Source: RefSeq, a predicted model, not a curated record